Molecule: ribosomal RNA, 603 nt
Filed under: uncultured bacterium
Lineage: Bacteria
Description: bacterial SSU rRNA
Rfam family: Bacterial small subunit ribosomal RNA
Source: RNAcentral
CCUACGGGAGGCAGCAGUGGGGAAUCUUGCGCAAUGGGCGAAAGCCUGACGCAGCCAUGCCGCGUGGAUGAUGAAGGUCUUAGGAUUGUAAAAUCCUUUCACCGGUGAAGAUAAUGACUGUAGCCGGAGAAGAAGCCCCGGCUAACUUCGUGCCAGCAGCCGCGGUAAUACGAAGGGGGCUAGCGUUGCUCGGAAUUACUGGGCGUAAAGGGAGCGUAGGCGGACAUUUAAGUCAGAGGUGAAAUCCCGGAGCUUAACUUCGGAACUGCCUUUGAUACUGGGUGUCUUGAGUGUGAGAGAGGUAUGUGGAACUCCGAGUGUAGAGGUGAAAUUCGUAGAUAUUCGGAAGAACACCAGUGGCGAAGGCGACAUACUGGCUCAUUACUGACGCUGAGGCUCGAAAGCGUGGGGAGCAAACAGGAUUAGAUACCCUGGUAGUCCACGCCGUAAACGAUGAUUGCUAGUUGUCGGGAAGCUUGCUUCUCGGUGACGCAGCUACGCAUAGACACUCCGCCGUCGGGAGGUACGGUCGCGAGAAUUAAACUUAAAUAGAAGUUAGUACGGCGUGAGACGUGCCGACGGACGACGACGAGGGAGGUUAGG